RNAcentral lists this long non-coding RNA (3393 nucleotides) under Mus musculus (house mouse). RNAcentral describes it as "long non-coding RNA chr8:126253186-126256579". The record is from RNAcentral. Lineage: Eukaryota; Metazoa; Chordata; Mammalia; Rodentia; Muridae.
ACACACACACACACACACACACACACACACACACAGAGAGAGAGAGAGAGAGAGAGAGAGAGAGAGAGAGAGAGAGAGAGAGAGGGAGGCCCUCCUGGAAGGUGGGGAUCCUACAAAACAGCAGCAUCAGUCUGGACAGGGCCACAGAUGGGUGUGACAAGGACAAGACAAAUGUCACCUCACAUCAUAUUUAGGGAUUCCAAAAUAGUCCCACAAUAACUCAAACCCAGGAUGUGAUAUGAGCCUCAGACCUCUAAGAAAGAUGCUCUUUCCCUGACAGCCCUCCGGGUUGUCUGUGGACAGACACACCCUGCCCAAGGGAGGUGGCAGGAUCCUUUCUGAGUAACCUUGUCUGUUUCAGAAAGGAGUUUCAGAAAAGAGACCUCCUGUCUCAUUGACUUCACCUUGGCUGGUGUGUUUGGGAAAUCUGUCUUACAUAUUUGAGUACCUGCCUGGAAAGACCAUUUGCUGCCAUUCCUUCUGGAUUGGAAUGACUGAGGUGACAAGCAUAAACUGUCCAAGGACAAGGACAAUUAAAGGCUAGUGUUUGGUGAAACGAGCUACUAAAAAGUACGCAGUUUUUAAUGCUUAGUUUAAAACAGAGAUGCCAGAGCUGGAGAGAUGGUCCAGUCAGUGAAAUCCUGAGUUUGGAUCCCCAGCAACUGCACAAAAGCUGGGUACUGCAGCUUGCUCUGUGAUGCCACUAUGAAGGAGGCAAGGACAAAAGAACCCUGGGGCUCACAGGCCAGCCAGCCUAGCCAAUCACUGAGAGCCCUGUCUGAAAAUAAGCUAGGGAGCUAUUAAGGAAGACGUUUGAUGUCAACCCCUGGCCAGGAAUCGAACUCAAGUUGUCAGCCUUGGCAGCAGACACUUUUACCCAUACAGCCAGCCCUUCAUUGAUUUUUUUUUUUUUUUUUUGUAAGCUAAUGAGGUUCCUGGAGGUUCUUGUAAUGGCCUUGUUUGAUUUCUCUAAAUCUGUCUUCCCCAGCCCAGGCAUAAAUCUCUACAAGAAAUUUCUGACAUGGUUCCUGACUGUGGAGACACAAUCAUUCUGAUCAUUAACGGUUGGUACUACAGGUGGCAGGGGGGCUGGCAGAGCCUCUUACCCAAAAUUGGCCUGGAGUGCCUAUUAGAAUCCUCAGAAGUAAUAGUCUACCUGUGAAAGCCAUUCUACACUGGCUGCCCUACUGGGAAGCCUCCCUUCCCCUCUGACCCCGCAUCCCUCACCACGGCAAGGCCACAUGCCUGGCAGAGGGGGCUGUUGGGAACAAUUCUCCUCCUGCAAACACAAUUAGUUUUGAGAUUGAGCCAAAACUCUCACUGGGGCCCAGCUCAAAGACUUCCUUCAUUACCUUAGGCUGGUGAAGACUGUAAGGAGGGCUCAUUUCCAAGUCUUAUGCUAGGAGCAGAGUAAAGAGGUUCGUGUAGCAGGUUUGCUUUUGAACCCUGAAGCCAGCUAUCAUUUCUAGGAGGUCAUUGCCAACAAUUGCUUUAAAAAACAAAACAAAUCAAAACAACAGCCACAAAGUACGAACAUCCUUCCACCUACUGUCUAAGUGGCCAGUGGGGUGGCCUCAGGGACCCCUGGAAGUUCAAACACAGUCUCCUCUCUGUUUUAUUCUCCAUUUCUCCCUGCAGCUGCUAUACUUCUUACAGAUAGACUUCUCAAAGGGGCUGCCGGUACUUGUUUGUGAGCCUCAUCUUUUGCCCUUCUGCAAGAUUUGGGGAGAGGCUAUUAUGUGCUAGAAUGGUUUUAAGCAGCAGGGUGGAAGCUGAGAGCCCUAGGAUGAGUGGUUUGCUCUGGAUGCUCUGUAGGUCAGUCAGGGGAUGCCGCCUGGGCCCGGAGGUUGGGAGCAUCUGCUACACAAGACCAGGAAUCGCCUCUCAGAAGGAGGUGUUUAAGCUGGUCAGUGAGGAUGAACCCAGGGACUUCAGGGAGGCUGGGGACAGAAAUGCUGACAGACAAGUAUACUGGUAGGAAAGUGUGGCACCCAUUCAAAAGAACAUCUAGCUAAGUGAGCAGCCAGGUAGCUUGCCUUGACCAUGAAAGACGUAAACUAAAAUAGGAGAUGGCUACGGAGCUUGAAGCCUUGGAGCACAGUGUUGUGACAAAGUGGAGAGGAAAGACCAGUUUUCCAAAGGGAAGAUAGAUUGCUCCCAAAUCCAGAAGUGGGUAAUUAGUAGGACAAUCCCUUGGAUCUCAUAACCCAACUGAUAGGGAAUGGGAGAGACAUAUAGGAACACUUUCAUAUUCUGUAUUUUAAAUACACACUUGUUCUCCAUAUUGGCAUAAAGAACCAGUUCACACACAUUAUUCCUAGCUCAGCACUCACACGCUACUAAUGAUGUUAGUUUCCAGUUAACCCCUUCCACCCCAAGUGCCCCUGGAGGACCUGCUGCAAGUGUCCACAGCAGAAACUGGUGAGUCAGCCUUUAAAGAAGUCACUGAGCCCAGACAGCUGCAGAGCAGAGAGUGAGAGAGAUAGUAAGGACAUCACAAGGCAGGGAUGGUGGCGUUUUGGUUUCAGCAGAAUGUCACGCACACAGGGCUGCAGACUUUAAAGUCAGGGUUUGCCCUAGCAAGCCAGGCUCAGCCACCUGCCUUGAAUAAGCCAAUUUUAAAAGCUAAAUUAGUAAAGUGAAGCAGAAAAGAUUUAGUCAAUGUGAUCACACUGGAAGUAGCAUCAGUCCUGCUUAAGGUGUGGCCCCCAACAUUGUUGCCUGGGCUCUAGUUCUUCCUGUAAGACAGUCUGUUGUCUAUCUCUUUCCAGGUCCCCGUGGUACUUUAACAGUCCAGACAGCCAGAGUCAAGGACACGAGUCUCUUCAGAACAUGCUCUUUCCUCCCAAGCAAGCCAGCUACAAUAACAGGAUGCCCAGUGAACAUUUACUAUUGUUAAGAAUUGGAUGAGUUUGCCUUUUAAAGACAAAUAAAUCGAUGGCAACAGAAAAUGAAUGGUAACAUUCUUUUAUACCUUCCUUAGGAUCAAAAUGCCGGACAAAAUUUGUGACCCUUGGUCUCACCCCCAGCUGACAGAACUGUGACCCAGAAGUGCCUUUCACCACAUAUGCCUAAUACCCCAGACGCAAUACUCUGCUUCUAGCUACUUGGCCUGAGCACAAAAUACUAACAAGAUCUAGAAUCUCAGCACAAAGUUGAGCCACCUUAUAGAAUGUUCCUCUGGUCCACUGUAGUCAGUUCCUAUAACAGAGCAGCACAGCUCCUUAACGUGGGAAGGCUCUUGAAUUACGUGGAGAAUUUAGUUUAAGCUCACUUAUAUAAUAGGUAGGGUUAGCCCUGUGGGUGAUGGUGGUGGGGUUUCAGAACACUCACUGGCAACCUACACAGAAAGCUUAAAGGCAUAGAUGAUCUACUGUUGUGUGUUAUUAACAG